AGAGUUUGAUCAUGGCUCAGGACGAACGCUGGCGGCGUGCCUAAUACAUGCAAGUAGAACGCAGGAUAUUUAGUUUACUAAUUAUUCUGAGUUGCGAACGGGUGAGUAACGCGUAGGUAACCUACCUCAUAGCGGGGGACAACUAUUGGAAACGAUAGCUAAUACCGCAUACAAGUUAGUAUCACAUGAUACCAACUUAAAAGGAGCAAUUGCUUCACUAUCAGAUGGACCUGCGUUGUAUUAGCUAGUUUGUGAGGUAACGGCUCACCAAGGCAACGAUACAUAGCCGACCUGAGAGGGUGAUCGGCCACACUGGGACUGAGACACGGCCCAGACUCCUACGGGAGGCAGCAGUAGGGAAUCUUCGGCAAUGGACGAAAGUCUGACCGAGCAACGCCGCGUGAGUGAAGAAGGUUUUCGGAUCGUAAAGCUCUGUUGUAAGAGAAGAACAUUGAUGGGAGUGGAAAAUCCAUUAAUUGACGGUACCUUACCAGAAAGGGACGGCUAACUACGUGCCAGCAGCCGCGGUAAUACGUAGGUCCCGAGCGUUGUCCGGAUUUAUUGGGCGUAAAGCGAGCGCAGGCGGUUUUAUAAGUCUGAAGUUAAAGGCUGUGGCUCAACCAUAGUUUGCUUUGGAAACUGUAGAACUUGAGUGCAGAAGGGGAGAGUGGAAUUCCAUGUGUAGCGGUGAAAUGCGUAGAUAUAUGGAGGAACACCGGUGGCGAAAGCGGCUCUCUGGACUGUCACUGACACUGAGGCUCGAAAGCGUGGGUAGCAAACAGGAUUAGAUACCCUG
RNAcentral lists this ribosomal RNA (796 nucleotides) under uncultured bacterium. RNAcentral's name for it is "bacterial SSU rRNA". It matches the Rfam family "Bacterial small subunit ribosomal RNA", at positions 8 to 789 of the family's 1533-position model. The record is from RNAcentral.